GAGGCCCCAAUCGAGUCUGGGGUCUGUUCAGGGAUUGAAUGCCAUGCUGACCACCCAACACUAGUUCUGAUGCUCUUUGCCAGUGUGCUGGUGACUUGCCUUGAGGCUGCUAAACUCACUGUAGGCUUCCAGACCCCCUGGAACAUCUCCCAUCCAUUCAGCAUGCAAAGGCUGGGUGCAGACCUCCAGAUUGCCAUGGACAAGGUCAACUCAGAGCUAGUGGACCUUGGAAAUUUCAGCUGGGAGUUCACUUACACCAACUCAGCCUGCAGCACCAAGGAGUCUCUUACUAUUUUCAACAACCAGGUCCAGACAGAACAGAUUUCUGCCCUGUUUGGACCAGCAUGCCCAGAAGCAGCUGAGGUUAUCGGUUUGCUGGCCUCUGAGUGGAACAUCCCCAUGUUUGACUUUGUUGGACAAACCACAAAACUGUGUGACACCUGUGUGAAACUUGUGCCACCCAAGCAGGACAUUGGUGAUGCGCUCCAGAAAAGUCUCCAGUACCUGGGCUGGAAACACACUGGGAUGUUUGGAGGCUACUCUGGGGCUUCCUCCUGGGAUGGAGUGGAUGAAUUGUGGAAGGUUGUAGAGAAUGAACUCAAAUCCCAUUUUAUCAUCACUGCUAGCAUGAGAUACACCAACAAUAGUCUAGUCCUUCUUCAAGAGCAUCUUUGGAGGAUAUCAUCAAUUGCCAGGGUUAUCAUCUCAACCUGCAUCUCAGAGGAUGCACAAAUUAUUCUUCUGGCUGCAGAAAACCUGGGACUCAACACUGGAGAAUUUGUUUUCAUCAUUUUGCAGCAGUUGGAGGACCGUUUUUGGAAGGAAGUACUGACAAAUCAGAAAAUGAUGCACCUCCCAAAGGUGUAUGGGUCAGUGCUUCUCAUUGCCCUCAGCUCCUACAGGAAAGGCUGUGGAGACGAAGGCUUUUGGAAACAAGUCUACCAAACACCGAGGAGGCCGCCCUUCCACAGCACCAUCUCCUGGGAGGAGCAGGUGAGCCCUUACUCUGCCUACCUUAACGACACCGUGCUGCUCUAUGCUGAGAUCGUGAAGCAGGUGGUAAAGGCUGGAGGCGACUUCCAGGACAGGUGGCAGCUGGUCAGCACUCUGAAGGGUUCCAGUCGGACCACAGUGCAGGGAAUCACCGGCGCUGUGUUUGUGGAUGCCCAGGGAGAAAGGCACAUGGAUUACUCUGUCUAUGCCCUACAGAAGUCUGAAAAUGGGCCCCUUUUUCUUCCUUUUCUUCAUUAUGACAGUUAUCAGAAAUUUUUUAAAGACCCACAAGGAAUUUCUCCAAUAUGACCUGGCCCCAUGGCUCCCUUCCUGAAGACAGACCUGGCUGUGGAUUUUAUAAUGAGUUCUGUGAAACUGAGCCUGCUUUUACGGGCGUGACUGCUAUGCUUCUCACAAUGAUGAUCCUCAUUCCUGUCUUGGGAGCUGCCAUCAUAGGUCUGAUUUUAAGGAUGCAGAGGCAAAACAAAGACAUCUGGUGGCAAAUCAACUUUGAUGAUAUCACCAUUCUUUCCCAGAACAAGCCAUCCCAGAGAGGCACACCUGUGUCAAAAGGCAUCAACAGUAACUCAUCUAGCGUGAUGAUUUCUGCGGACCUCAGCUCUUUUGUCAAGAGCCAGCAGGGGGAAGAGCUCUUCUAUGCCCCAGUAGGGCUUUAUCAGGGAAACCAUGUGGCCAUCUGCUACGUUGGUGACCAAGCAGAAGCCUGGGUUAGGAAGCCGACUGUGCUACAGGAAAUACAGCUGAUGGGUGAAUUAAGGCACAAGAACAUUGUUCCCUUCUUUGGUAUUUGCACCGAACCACCUAACAUCUGCAUUGUCACCCAGUAUUGCAAAAAAAGGAAGUCUUAAGAUGUUUUGAGAAACUCGGAUCAUGAAAUGGAUUGGAUAUUCAAACUCUCAUUUGCAUAUGACAUAGUCAAUGGCAUGCUGUUCCUCCACAGGAGCCCCCUGGGCUCCCACGGCAACCUGAAACCUUCCAACUGCCUGGUGGAUGGUCGGCUGCAGGUGAAGCUGUCGCGAUUCAGGCUGUGGGAACUCAAGCAUGGCUGAAAAUACAGAACAUAUGAUGAGACAGUGACGGACCACUAGCUCUACUGGACUGCCCCAGAGCUGCUGUGGCUCCCGGAGGUGCCCUGGUCGGGUACCCCGCAAGGAGAUGUUUACAGCUUCGCCAUUCUGAUGAGGGAGUUGAUCUACCAUUGGGACCACGGGCCCUUUGAUGACCUCCAUGAGGCACCGGAUGAAAUCAUCAACCGAAUGAAAGACCCUGCAGCAGCUGUCCCACUGCAACCUUCCCUGCCCGAGAAGAAGGGCGAUGAAGGGCGAUGAAAAGUUCGUGGCCAUGGUGAGGGCAUGUUGGGAUGAAUCUCUGGAGAAAAGACCCAGUUUCUCUUCCAUCAAGAAAACUUUACGAGAGGCCAGUCCCAGAGGCCGUGUGAGCAUACUGGCCAGUAUGAUGAGCAAGCUGGAAGUCUAUGCCAAUCACCUGGAGGAAGUGGUGCAAGAGAGGACCAGCCAGCUGACUGCAGAGAAGAGGAAGGUGGAGAAGCUUCUGUCCACCAUAGUGCCCAGCUUCAUUGGAGAACAACUCCUAGCCGGAAGGUCCGUGGAACCAGAACAUUUCGAGUCUGUGACAAUCUUUUUAUCUGACAUUGUUGGAUUCACAAAGCUGUGUUCUCUCAGCUCCCCUUUGCAAGUCGUCAAGCUCCUCAAUGACCUGUACAGUUUAUCUGAUCACAUCAUCACAACUUAUGAUGUUUAUAAGGUUGAGACCAUUGGAGACGCAUACAUGGUGACUAGUGGACUCCCUAUCCGCAAUGGAAGCCAGCAUGUGGCUGAGAUUGCCACCAUAUCCCUGCACUUCCUCAGUGCCACCAUCUGCUUCCAAAUUGGGCACAUGCACCAGGAGAAGCUCCAGCUUUGGAUUGGCCUCCACACAGGUCCUGUGGUGGCUGGUGUGCUGGGGAUCACCAUGUCCAGAUACUGUCUGUUUGGAGACACUGUGAACAUGGCAUCCAGAAUGGAGAGCAGCAGUUCACCUCUCCGGAUUCAUGUCUGUCAGAGAGCACUGCAAGUGCCCUGGUGGCAUUGGGAGGGUACGAUUUGCAAAAGAGAGGCACCAUUCCAGUCAAGGGCAAAGGAGAGCAAACAACUUUCUGGUUGAACGAUAAAGAAGGCUUUACUCUUCCACUCCCCGAAUUUACUGAGGAAAAAGCCAAAGUGCCAGAGAUAUUG
This 3248-nucleotide small RNA is filed under the name Pongo abelii (Sumatran orangutan). RNAcentral describes it as "transcribed unitary pseudogene". The record is from RNAcentral. Lineage: Eukaryota; Metazoa; Chordata; Mammalia; Primates; Hominidae.